UAUGGCCUACGGGACGCAGCAGUAGGGAAUUUUCGUCAAUGGGCGCAAGCCUGAACGAGCGAUGCCGCGUGAGUGAAGAAGGCCUUCGGGUCGUAAAGCUCUGUUGCGGGGGAAAAAAGGCAGCAUCAGGAAAUGGGUGCUGACUGAUGGUGCCCCGCCAGAAAGUCACGGCUAACUACGUGCCAGCAGCCGCGGUAAUACGUAGGUGGCGAGCGUUAUCCGGAAUGAUUGGGUGUAAAGGGAGCGUAGGCGGGG
RNAcentral lists this ribosomal RNA (255 nucleotides) under uncultured bacterium. RNAcentral describes it as "partial 16S ribosomal RNA". It matches the Rfam family "Bacterial small subunit ribosomal RNA", at positions 333 to 580 of the family's 1533-position model. The record is from RNAcentral.